UGUUGAAUUUUCUCUUGCAAUAAUAGUAUGCAAUACAAUUUUAUUCAUUAGCAUUUAUGUAUUUUUUGCUAUUAUUGUUCGUUAUUACAUUCAUUUAUAUGUCAAGUUACUUAUAUGUAUGAUUUAAGCAUUGCAGGUAUGGCACCAGAAGAGAGACGGCCACGUCAGAGUUUCCAGCCUCUCCUUGAGGAGCCUUCCCCCAUUCCAUUGCCGCACCAUCGAAGCCGCCAGAGAGUACUGCAGAGACUGAUUC
This 253-nucleotide long non-coding RNA is filed under the name Elaeis guineensis (African oil palm). RNAcentral describes it as "long non-coding RNA (EGUI_LNC079394)". The record is from RNAcentral. Lineage: Eukaryota; Viridiplantae; Streptophyta; Magnoliopsida; Arecales; Arecaceae.